Long non-coding RNA from Cyprinus carpio carpio, 1000 nucleotides. The record is from Ensembl. Lineage: Eukaryota; Metazoa; Chordata; Actinopteri; Cypriniformes; Cyprinidae.
UUAAGCCACUCCUCCAAGAUACUGAAUAUACAAUUCUCAACCUUUUUCCCUUGCAUCUUAAGCCCCACUAUCCACCCCGGGCCUACCAUCCACCCCAGGCCAAGGCAAACGAGCCCCACCAUCCAUCCAACCUCAACUAAAGAAAAAGACAAACCACAGGUAAAGGAGCCACACAAGCCCCACCCUCUACCCUGGCCAAAAAGAAGAAAACAAAAAGCAAGUAGACAUUCUUUGCACCCCAUGUGUAUAUUUGUUUCUAUUCUUUGCACCCCAUGUGUAUAUCAGCAGCCAUGUGUUGGGUGUAAAUGUGUUUUUGCAUGUAGCCCCCUUUAAUUGGACCAAACUCAGGGUGUAUUCACACUUGGUCUUUUUCAGCCCUCAAAGUGAACUAAGAACAGUGACUCAUAUAUGAACACCUCAAGCAAACUCAGACCCAUUUGAAAUGAACCAAACGUUUUUUUGCCUUUGUCAUUUAAGGUUGCAAAUGCAGUCGACAGACAAUUUAUCCAUACGAUAAAAUAUUGGAAAGACGGAUGAAUGGGGUAAGAUGUAGAACCAUAUUUUUCAUUAGGCUGUCUGAUUAUCUCUUGACUCAUGUCUGUCUCAUCUUUCAAUCCACAUGUGACAAAACAGUAACACUGAGCAGUAGGUAUCAAACUUUUUCAACUAUCAACCCUCUCACAAGUGCUACCCCUUAGGAAAAAAAAGUAUACUUCAAGUUAUUUUAUGAAGUAUACUUAAGUAAUGUUCAAGUAUAUUUUUAAGUAUACUUUAUGGAGUAAGUAUACUAGUAUCAAUGUGUACUAUUUCAAUACUGCUUGGGGCUAAAUUGGCCCACUUUUAGUAUAAAAGUAUAUGUUUAAGUGUACUAAAAGUGUAAACUUUAAGUACACAACUAGGUUUCUCAUUUUUAAUGCAUCUUUACUACAAGUGAACUUAUAAGUAUACUAGUAGUUUACUAUUUUAAUACAAGUAGUACAUUUUUUAGUUAGGAAAGUAC